RNAcentral lists this microRNA precursor (109 nucleotides) under Olea europaea subsp. europaea. It matches the Rfam family "MIR828 microRNA precursor family". Lineage: Eukaryota; Viridiplantae; Streptophyta; Magnoliopsida; Lamiales; Oleaceae. The record is from RNAcentral.
AAUGUUUCUUGCUCAAAUGAGUAUUCCAAGAUCACCAAGCAUUGACGCAUUUCAAAACGUAAAUGAGAUGCUGGUGUUGGUGAUCGCGAGAUGCUCAUUUGGGCAACCA